GACGAACGCUGGCGGCGUGCCUAAUACAUGCAAGUAGAACGCUGAAGGAGGAGCUUGCUUCUCUGGAUGAGUUGCGAACGGGUGAGUAACGCGUAGGUAACCUGCCUGGUAGCGGGGGAUAACUAUUGGAAACGAUAGCUAAUACCGCAUAAGAGUAGAUGUUGCAUGACAUUUGCUUAAAAGGUGCAAUUGCAUCACUACCAGAUGGACCUGCGUUGUAUUAGUUAGUUGGGGGGGUAACGGCUCACCAAGGCGACGAUACAGAGCCGACCGGAGAGGGGGGUCGGCCACACUGGGACUGUGACACGGCCCAGACUCCUACGGGAGGCAGCAGUAGGGCAUCGUCGGCAAUGGACGGAAGUCUGACCGAGCAACGCCGCGUGAGUGAAGAAGGUUGUCGGAUCGUAAAGCUCUGUUGUAAGAGAAGAACGAGUGUGAGAGUGGAAAGUUCACACUGUGACGGUAUCUUACCAGAAAGGGACGGCUAACUACGUG
RNAcentral lists this ribosomal RNA (495 nucleotides) under uncultured bacterium. Its description in RNAcentral is "partial 16S ribosomal RNA". It matches the Rfam family "Bacterial small subunit ribosomal RNA", at positions 28 to 507 of the family's 1533-position model. The record is from RNAcentral.